CCAGACUCCUACGGGAGGCAGCAGUGGGGAAUAUUGGACAAUGGGGGAAACCCUGAUGCAGCGACGCCGCGUGAGCGAAGAAGUAUUUCGGUAUGUAAAGCUCUAUCAGCAGGGAAGAAAAUGACGGCACCUGACUAAGAAGCCCCGGCUAACUACGUGCCAGCAGCCGCGGUAAUACGUAGGGGGCAAGCGUUAUCCGGAUUUACUGGGUGUAAAGGGAGCGUAGACGGUACUGCAAGCCAGAUGUGAAAGCCCGGGGCUCAACCCCGGGACUGCAUUUGAAACUGUACGGCUAGAGUGCAGGAGAGGCAAGUGGAAUUCCUAGUGUAGCGGUGAAAUGCGUAGAUAUUAGGAGGAACACCAGUGGCGAAGGCGGCUUGCUGGACGAUAACUGACGUUGAGGCUCGAAAGCGUGGGGAGCAAACAGGAUUAGAUACCCGCGUA
RNAcentral lists this ribosomal RNA (444 nucleotides) under uncultured bacterium. Its description in RNAcentral is "bacterial SSU rRNA". It matches the Rfam family "Bacterial small subunit ribosomal RNA", at positions 331 to 792 of the family's 1533-position model. The record is from RNAcentral.